ACGGUCAUUCCAAAUUGAAAACACCGGUUCUCGUCCGAUCACCAAAGUUAAGCUAUGUCGGGCCCGGUCAGUACUUGAGAGGGUGAUCUAUCUGAGUCAAAUAAUCCUAUCCUACAGCCUCAAAGUAGCGGGAGGGUGUAAACAGGUAACACAGGACGUCGCGAGUUUAACUCCUGGUAGGGCC
Non-coding RNA from Cordylochernes scorpioides, 184 nucleotides. Lineage: Eukaryota; Metazoa; Arthropoda; Arachnida; Pseudoscorpiones; Chernetidae. The record is from the annotation of a GenBank genome assembly.